GACGAACGCUGGCGGCGUGCUUAACACAUGCAAGUCGAGCGGUAAGGCCCUUUCGGGGGUACACGAGCGGCGAACGGGUGAGUAACACGUGGGUGACCUGCCCUCAGCUCUGGGAUAAGCCUGGGAAACCGGGUCUAAUACUGGAUAUGACUCCAUGACGCAUGUUGUGGGGUGGAAAGCCUUGUGCGGCUGAGGAUGGGCCCGCGGCCUAUCAGCUUGUUGGUGGGGUGANGGCCUACCAAGGCGACGACGGGUAGCCGGCCUGAGAGGGCGACCGGCCACACUGGGACUGAGACACGGCCCAGACUCCUACGGGAGGCAGCAGUGGGGAAUCUUGCGCAAUGGACGAAAGCCUGACGCAGCGACGCCGCGUGAGGGAUGACGGCCU
RNAcentral lists this ribosomal RNA (388 nucleotides) under uncultured bacterium. Its description in RNAcentral is "bacterial SSU rRNA". It matches the Rfam family "Bacterial small subunit ribosomal RNA", at positions 28 to 417 of the family's 1533-position model. The record is from RNAcentral.